Long non-coding RNA from Lolium rigidum, 1840 nucleotides. RefSeq lists it as uncharacterized. NCBI's taxonomy places the organism in Eukaryota, Viridiplantae, Streptophyta, Magnoliopsida, Poales, Poaceae. The transcript has 5 exons. The record is from RefSeq and is a predicted model, not a curated record.
ACUCUUUCCUCUCCCCAAUCAUCUCCUGUCUCAUCUCCCCCAAUCCCCUCCUCUCUCUCCUCUCCCCAAUCCCUCUGCAUCCUCCUCCAAAUCCCUCCUCCAAAUCCCAUAGCGCCUCCAGCGGAUCUUGUGCUUGGCCUCGCCGGCGAGUAGUCCAUCACGCCGCCUGCGAGUCUCCUCCACAUGCCGUCCGCCUCGCUGGGCGAGCAGCAGAAGAACGCCAUGGGGUGAGCGCUUGACGAGCGGGAACUCCGUGGUGAGCAGCGGCCGCUGCAUCGGGUGGGCGGCGCGGCUGCACCGGCGGGUGAAAACCCUAGCGCGCCGCCUCACAAUCCCGAACAUCCAUCCUCGUCACCUUCGUCCUCAGCUUCCGGUCUGCAAGUGGAAGAUGAGGCGGAGACCAAGAAGUAGAACCCGACUGCAGGAUAAAGAGGAGGCAAAAAGUGACUUUGAAGCUAAUCAAUCUCAGCCAUAAGGAACUCAAAAAUAGUGUUGGCAGGGGAUAUUACCAUAAUGCAAGAAUAUGCUGCAAGUCAAUUCAGGUUUUCCAGAUCAUUUAUAAUUUACAAACCAGAUUCCAGUAGUAUUAAAUAUGGCAGAAGACAUCGGAGGAGAAAACGUUUAUCUGAAGAAAAAGAUGAAAACCGAUGGGCAUGACCAACAUUUUCCUAUGAAGAAAACAAAUAAGGUUGCGGUGCAAGGUGCAGAGGUCCCCUGCAGCGUGUGGAGGUGGUUGGCCUUGGCCAGGUCAAGUUGUCGGGGUGACCUCUCUAUAUCCACUCUGUAGAGUUGGUGUUCCUCAUUUCCUUAUCUGAAAAUUCAUUUAGAAUAAGGCCACUUGCGCAUCCAGUUUUAUGAAGGAUUGUCAAGCUAAAAAUAAAGGAUGGAGGCCAUGGAUAUCUCUACUAAAAGUAUUGCAUGGCGUCAUGAUAUCCUCCUCUUCUUGUUUGGCCCCUGCAGAUGGCGUAACCUUCAGGUGAGAUCCUCCUCCACUUGAAGUGUUCGCUAUUUUUUCAUGAAAACAUUGACAUUUCGAGUAUUUUUUCAUCCUUUUUAUUAUAAAUCACGGAGAUGGAGAUACAUAUUAGGGAGUAAGUUUGUUAAUAUACUUCUCAAGGCAUGCACAAAAGAAUUCGAUGGUAAGCUUCCAUAGUUUUUUUUAUAGAAGAACCAUAUUUAGUUAUAUCAUCCUACAGGCAUAAUGAUAUGUUGUGUGUGUUGAUGGAAUUGACCAUCAAGCUGGAGAGGCUCUUUAACCAACAAUACAUAUAUCACCUGACACCGUGGGGUAUGUCUAUUUUUAUUCCUGAUUUAUUUGUGGUUGCAGCAAGGUAGAUUAUAUCUUUCUGGUCUACCUAUUAAUCUUUGCCUACUACCACUGUUGUGGAUUGGAAGUACAUUUUUCUUACACUGAAGCCUAAUUGUGUGAGAUUUAAGAGAGUGAUUAAUGACAUAUGAUGUGCACUUUCGUAGCUGUGAGGAAGGAUUGAAGUGGAGUUACAUCAUUAAACUUCGCAAUGCUUCUAAAUAUCUGCUAAUUAUCACCCUUUAUUGGUUGAUUUUCUUGAUGAAUAGCUUCAACGAUGAUAAUUUGAGAUAUACAAAAUGACAAGUCAGUGCUUAAUUUUGAAAACCGUAAUUUCUUACUUACCUUCUUGAUCAUUACAGGGCACCUGCAAGCAAGCUCCACCAGAAUCUCUGUUUCCAUUACAGGUCGGUCACCUUUUCUAAAGUAUUGAAAUGUUAUGGUGAUGUGAAUGGCUCAACAGGCCAUUGCGAUGUUCUUGCAUUGGUAUAUUAUUUUAUAUAUCUCUACCAAAUUAACUAAAUUCGGUGUGCU